ACGCUACGGAGCUAAUACAUGCAGUCGAACGGUGUCUUCGGACAUAGUGGCGCACGGGUGCGUAACACGUAUGCAACCUACCUUACAUUGGGGGAUAGCCUUUCGAAAGGGAGAUUAAUACCGCAUAAGACAGUAGCUGGGCAUCCGGCAGCUGUUAAAGAUUUAUCGAUGUAAGCUGGGCAUGCGUCCAAUUAGCUAGUUGGUGAGGUAAUGGCUCACCAAGGCAAUGAUUGGUAGGGAACUGAGAGGUCAAUCCCCCACACUGGCACUGAGAUACGGGCCAGACUCCUACGGGAGGCAGCAGUAGGGAAUAUUGGGCAAUGGACGCAAGUCUGACCCAGCCAUGCCGCGUGCAGGAUGAAGGCGUUAUGCGUUGUAAACUGCUUUUAUACAGGAAGAAACGACUCUUGCGAGAGGCAUUGACGGUACUGUAUGAAUAAGCACCGGCUAACUCCGUGCCAGCAGCCGCGGUAAUACGGAGGGUGCAAGCGUUGUCCG
RNAcentral lists this ribosomal RNA (498 nucleotides) under uncultured Flexibacteraceae bacterium. RNAcentral describes it as "bacterial SSU rRNA". It matches the Rfam family "Bacterial small subunit ribosomal RNA", at positions 33 to 547 of the family's 1533-position model. Lineage: Bacteria; Pseudomonadati; Bacteroidota; Cytophagia; Cytophagales; Cytophagaceae. The record is from RNAcentral.